UUUUUGUAGUAAGUUUUAAAAUGUACUUGUAAUUUCGAGGCCAAUUUUGAGUACUGCCCUCUAAGAGUACAUUGUUUCAGCAGUUACUUAGCCCUUGAUUAGGUUAAUGCUUUCUUUUUGUUUAGAAAAGAAAGUAAAAGGUCUGUAAUUUUUUUUUCCUUGCCUUAGCCCCGUCGCAGAAUUUAGUCUCAAAGGAAACUUCAACCACAGCACUGCAGGCCUCUGUUGCCAGACCAGAGCUGGAGGUAAAUGCUGCCAUAGUCUCUGGACAAAGCAGUGAGCCCAAAGAGAUAGUUGAAAAGUCCAAAAUCCCAGGCCGAAGAAACUCCCGAACUGAAGAGCCAACUGUGGCCUCUGAAAGUGUGGAAAAUGGACAUCGUAAACGAUCUUCUCGACCUGCUUCAGCCUCCAGCUCUACUAAAGACAUAACCAGUGCGGUGCAAUCCAAGCGAAGAAAAUCCAAGUAAACAAGCAGGACUGCGACUUGAUACUUGGAAAUGUGUGUGACUUUUACAAAGAGCAAUUUUGAGCUGUGACUUUUUUAAAUCAAUUUCUGUACAGUUAGUAAUUUUAAUAAUGUGGCCCUUUUCCUAGUCCCUGCAACCUGUUUCAUAAAGUGCAAUGGGGAAAGCAGGACUGUUGAGCCCUUUUGGUGUUGCGAGUUGAAGUUCAAGGUUUCUAAAAUGUUGUCUUGUAUUGAAAGGAGCUAAUGCCAUUAUAAAUGUUACUAGUUUUCACAUUUCCUAAGCAGCCUAGAGUACAGGGUGAGCAUUUUUAGAUCUCCUAAUGAUGUAUUGUGCCGUGGAAGUACUGUGUGUGAAUAGCAGUAGUGGGGGCAAAAGCAAUCUUCUCAUUUGGAAAUGUUGUAAAUAAUUUUAUUAUAUAGUGUUUUGGAUGUAUUUGUUGUAGAAAUGGACCAGUGAAUAAAGAGAAUCUAAGGAUUUGUACAAUGUGAAAUAACGUGUUAAAUAAAUGUCAUUGUCAUAGAACAUAAAGUUAUGUUAUUGGUAAGGG
This 1014-nucleotide long non-coding RNA is filed under the name Homo sapiens (human). Its description in RNAcentral is "HSALNT0266599". The record is from RNAcentral. Lineage: Eukaryota; Metazoa; Chordata; Mammalia; Primates; Hominidae.